UUGGAAAUAGUCUCACUGUUCUGAUCUUGUAAUAAUCCCGGACAGACUAAACAUUCGCUGUAUUAAAACCAUGCACGUGUCCUUCUUCUCUUUCCCUACUUCUCCUGCUGGUGAUAAAC
This 119-nucleotide small nucleolar RNA is filed under the name Jaculus jaculus (lesser Egyptian jerboa). RNAcentral describes it as "Small nucleolar RNA SNORA72 (ENSJJAG00000008678.1)". It matches the Rfam family "Small nucleolar RNA SNORA72". Rfam says of the family: U72 is a member of the H/ACA class of snoRNAs. The snoRNA gene is located in intron 4 of the ribosomal L30 protein gene in human, mouse and chicken. The record is from Rfam by way of RNAcentral. Lineage: Eukaryota; Metazoa; Chordata; Mammalia; Rodentia; Dipodidae.